AGCUCCAAUAGCGUAUAUUAAAGUUGUUGCAGUUAAAAAGCUCGUAGUUGGACCUAUGCGCAUUGACUAGUGGUCUGUCGCAAGACAGCACUGCUUACUCAAGCGCACAAUGUUGGGGAACUGUCUUUGACAGGGAACCAAGUGUUACUUUGAAGAAAUUAGAGUGUUUAAAGCAGGCGUUUGCUUGAAUACAUUAGCAUGGAAUAAUGAGAUAUGACUGCGGUCUUAUUUCGUUGGUUUGAGGGCCACAGUAAUGAUUAAUAGGGACAGUUGGGGGCAUUUGUAUUCAGUAGUCAGAGGUGAAAUUCUUGGAUUUACUGAAGACAAACUAAUGCGAAAGCAUUUGCCAAGGAUGUUUUCA
Molecule: ribosomal RNA, 361 nt
Filed under: uncultured eukaryote
Lineage: Eukaryota
Description: SSU rRNA
Rfam family: Eukaryotic small subunit ribosomal RNA
Source: RNAcentral